UGCAACCUGAACUCAGACGUGAUUACCCG
Molecule: ribosomal RNA, 29 nt
Filed under: Metastrongylus pudendotectus
Lineage: Eukaryota; Metazoa; Nematoda; Chromadorea; Rhabditida; Metastrongylidae
Description: partial 28S ribosomal RNA
Source: RNAcentral